CCUACGGGAGGCAGCAGUGAGGAAUAUUGGUCAAUGGGCGGAAGCCUGAACCAGCCAAGUAGCGUGCAGGAUGACGGCCCUACGGGUUGUAAACUGCUUUUAUACGGGAAUAACGCGCCUUACGUGUAGGGCUUUGCAUGUACCGUACGAAUAAGGACCGGAUAAUUCCGUGCCAGCAGCCGCGGUAAUACGGAAGGUCCGGGCGUUACCCGGAUUUAUUGGGGUUAACGGGAGCGUAGGCCGGAUGUCAAGCGUGCUGUGAAAUGUCCGGGCUCAACCCGGGACUUGCAGCGCGGACUGGCGAGCUUGAGGCCGCGGAAGGCGGGCGGAAUUCGUGGUGUAGCGGUGAAAUGCGUAGAUAUGACGAAGAACCCCGAUUGCGAAGGCAGCUUGCUGGAGCGGAACUGACGCUGAGGCGCGAAAGCGCGGGUAUCGAACAGGAUUAGAUACCCGAGUAGUC
This 460-nucleotide ribosomal RNA is filed under the name uncultured bacterium. RNAcentral describes it as "partial 16S ribosomal RNA". It matches the Rfam family "Bacterial small subunit ribosomal RNA", at positions 338 to 795 of the family's 1533-position model. The record is from RNAcentral.